CCUACGGGAGGCAGCAGUGAGGAAUAUUGGUCAAUGGGCUUACGCCUGAACCAGCCAAGUCGCGUGAGGGAAGACUGCCCUAUGGGUUGUAAACCUCUGUUGUCAGGGAGCAACGCCGGCUACGUGUAGCCGGACUGAGAGGAGCUGAAGAAAAAGCAGCGGCUAACGCCGUGCCAGCAGCCGCGGUAAUACGGCGGAUGCGAGCGUUCGCCGGAUUUAUUGGGUUUAAAGGGUGCGUAGGCGGACGGUUAAGUCAGCGGUAAAAGCCCGGGGCUCAACCCCGGCGAGCCGUUGAAACUGGCUGUCUUGCGAUGUCUAGAGGUAUGCGGCAUGCGCAGUGUAGCGGUUACAUGCUUAGAUAUUGCGCAGAACUCCGAUUGCGAAGGCAGCAUACCGGCGGCGAUCUGACGCUGAGGCACGAAAGCGUGGGUAUCGAACAGGAUUAGAUACCCUUGUAGUC
This 460-nucleotide ribosomal RNA is filed under the name uncultured bacterium. RNAcentral describes it as "partial 16S ribosomal RNA". It matches the Rfam family "Bacterial small subunit ribosomal RNA", at positions 338 to 795 of the family's 1533-position model. The record is from RNAcentral.